This 385-nucleotide ribosomal RNA is filed under the name uncultured bacterium. Its description in RNAcentral is "bacterial SSU rRNA". It matches the Rfam family "Bacterial small subunit ribosomal RNA", at positions 29 to 416 of the family's 1533-position model. The record is from RNAcentral.
AUUGAACGCUGGCGGCAUGCCUUACACAUGCAAGUCGAACGGUAACAGGUCUUCGGAUGCUGACGAGUGGCGAACGGGUGAGUAAUACAUCGGAACGUGCCCGAUCGUGGGGAUAACGCAGCGAAAGCUGUGCUAAUACCGCAUACGAUCUACGGAUGAAAGCGGGGGACUCGCAAGGGCCUCGCGCGGACGGAGCGGCCGAUGGCAGAUUAGGUAGUUGGUGGGAUAAAAGCUUACCAAGCCGACGAUCUGUAGCUGGUCUGAGAGGACGACCAGCCACACUGGGACUGAGACACGGCCCAGACUCCUACGGGAGGCAGCAGUGAGGAAUUUUGGACAAUGGGCGCAAGCCUGAUCCAGCCAUGCCGCGUGCGGGAAGAAGGCC